This is a small nuclear RNA of Cynocephalus volans (Philippine flying lemur), 107 nucleotides long. Lineage: Eukaryota; Metazoa; Chordata; Mammalia; Dermoptera; Cynocephalidae. The record is from RefSeq and is a predicted model, not a curated record.
GUGCUUGCUUUGGCAACACAUAUACUAAAAUUGGAAUGACAGAAAGAAGGUUACUAUGAUCUUUGUGUGAGGAUGACAUGCAAAUUUCACUGGAAUGACAUAUUCAA